This 253-nucleotide ribosomal RNA is filed under the name uncultured bacterium. RNAcentral describes it as "partial 16S ribosomal RNA". It matches the Rfam family "Bacterial small subunit ribosomal RNA", at positions 524 to 776 of the family's 1533-position model. The record is from RNAcentral.
UACGUAGGCAGCAAGCGUUGUUCGGAGUUACUGGGCGUAAAGGGUGUGUAGGCGGUUGUUUAAGUUUGGUGUGAAAUCUCCCGGCUCAACUGGGAGGGUGCGCCGAAUACUGAAUGACUCGAGUGCGGGAGAGGAGAGUGGAAUUCCUGGUGUAGCGGUGAAAUGCGUAGAUAUCAGGAGGAACACCGGUGGUGUAGACGGCUCUCUGGACCGUAACUGACGCUGAGACACGAAAGCGUGGGGAGCGAACAGG